This 500-nucleotide ribosomal RNA is filed under the name uncultured bacterium. RNAcentral describes it as "partial 16S ribosomal RNA". It matches the Rfam family "Bacterial small subunit ribosomal RNA", at positions 30 to 523 of the family's 1533-position model. The record is from RNAcentral.
AUUGAACGCUGGCGGAAUGCUUUACACAUGCAAGUCGAACGGCAGCACGGACUUCGGUCUGGUGGCGAGUGGCGAACGGGUGAGUAAUGUAUCGGAACGUGCCCAGUCGUGGGGGAUAACGUAGUGAAAAUUACGCUAAUACCGCAUACGAUCUAUGGAUGAAAGCGGGGGAUCGCAAGACCUCGCGCGACUGGAGCGGCCGAUAUCAGAUGAGGUCGUUGGUGGGGUAAAGGCCCACCAAGCCAACGAUCUGUAGCUGGUCUGAGAGGACGACCAGCCACACUGGAACUGGGACACGGUCCAGACUCCUACGGGAGGCAGCAGUGGGGAAUUUUGGACAAUGGGCGAAAGCCUGAUCCAGCCAUUCCGCGUGCAGGAUGAAGGCCCUCGGGUUGUAAACUGCUUUUGUACAGAACGAAAAGGUUUCUACUAAUACUAGGAGCUCAUGACGGUACUGUAAGAAUAAGCACCGGCUAACUACGUGCCAGCCGCCGCUGUAA